Molecule: ribosomal RNA, 431 nt
Filed under: uncultured bacterium
Lineage: Bacteria
Description: partial 16S ribosomal RNA
Rfam family: Bacterial small subunit ribosomal RNA
Source: RNAcentral
AACGAACGCUGGCGGCAGGCUUAACACAUGCAAGUCGAGCGCCCCGCAAGGGGAGCGGCCGACGGGUGAGUAACGCGUGGGAACGUACCUUUUGGUUCGGAACAACUCCGGGAGACUGGAGCUAAUACCGGAUAAGCCCUAACGGGGAAAGAUUUAUCGCCGAAAGAUCGGCCCGCGUCUGAUUAGCUAGUUGGUGAGGUAACGGCUCACCAAGGCGACGAUCAGUAGCUGGUCUGAGAGGAUGAUCAGCCACACUGGGACUGAGACACGGCCCAGACUCCUACGGGAGGCAGCAGUGGGGAAUAUUGGACAAUGGGCGCAAGCCUGAUCCAGCCAUGCCGCGUGAGUGAUGAAGGCCUUAGGGUUGUAAAGCUCUUUUGUCCGGGAAGAUAAUGACGGUACCGGAAGAAUAAGCCCCGGCUAACUUCGUG